CGAAAGCCUGACGGAGCAACGCCGCGUGUGUGAAGAAGGCCUUCGGGUCGUAAAGCACUGUCAGGAGGGAAGAAAACCGGCAAGUCCGGCGUGACGGUACCUCCUAAGGAAGCACCGGCCAACUCCGUGCCAGCAGCCGCGGUAAUACGGAGGAUGCAAGCGUUAUUCGGAAUUAUUGGGCGUAAAGCGUCCGCAGGGGGCUCAUCAAGUCUGCUGUCAAAGGUCGGAGCUCAACUCCGGUUCGGCAGUGGAAACUGGUGGGCUAGAGGGCGACAGGGGUAGAGGGAAUUCCCAGUGUAGCGGUGAAAUGCGUAGAGAUUGGGAAGAACACCGGUGGCGAAAGCGCUCUACUGGGUCGCACCUGACCCUCAGGGACGAAAGCUAAGGUAGCG
Molecule: ribosomal RNA, 392 nt
Filed under: uncultured cyanobacterium
Lineage: Bacteria; Bacillati; Cyanobacteriota
Description: bacterial SSU rRNA
Rfam family: Bacterial small subunit ribosomal RNA
Source: RNAcentral